RNAcentral lists this ribosomal RNA (225 nucleotides) under uncultured Acinetobacter sp. Its description in RNAcentral is "partial 16S ribosomal RNA". It matches the Rfam family "Bacterial small subunit ribosomal RNA", at positions 568 to 792 of the family's 1533-position model. The record is from RNAcentral. Lineage: Bacteria; Pseudomonadati; Pseudomonadota; Gammaproteobacteria; Moraxellales; Moraxellaceae.
UGCGUAGGCGGCUUAUUAAGUCGGAUGUGAAAUCCCCGAGCUUAACUUGGGAAUUGCAUUCGAUACUGGUGAGCUAGAGUAUGGGAGAGGAUGGUAGAAUUCCAGGUGUAGCGGUGAAAUGCGUAGAGAUCUGGAGGAAUACCGAUGGCGAAGGCAGCCAUCUGGCCUAAUACUGACGCUGAGGCGCGAAAGCGUGGGGAGCAAACAGGAUUAGAUACCCGUGUA